UCCAGGAUAGCCUAGUGGACAUGGCACCUGCCCGGUAAGCAAAGGUUGUGGGUUCGAUUCCCGCUCCUGGAA
This 72-nucleotide transfer RNA is filed under the name Cordylochernes scorpioides. RNAcentral describes it as "tRNA-Thr". It matches the Rfam family "tRNA". From Rfam's summary of the family: Transfer RNA (tRNA) molecules are approximately 80 nucleotides in length. Their secondary structure includes four short double-helical elements and three loops (D, anti-codon, and T loops). Further hydrogen bonds mediate the characteristic L-shaped molecular structure. tRNAs have two regions of fundamental functional importance: the anti-codon, which is responsible for specific mRNA codon recognition, and the 3' end, to which the tRNAs corresponding amino acid is attached (by aminoacyl-tRNA synthetases). tRNAs cope with the degeneracy of the genetic code in two manners: having more than one tRNA (with a specific anti-codon) for a particular amino acid; and 'wobble' base-pairing, i.e. permitting non-standard base-pairing at the 3rd anti-codon position. The record is from RNAcentral. Lineage: Eukaryota; Metazoa; Arthropoda; Arachnida; Pseudoscorpiones; Chernetidae.